Molecule: ribosomal RNA, 468 nt
Filed under: uncultured bacterium
Lineage: Bacteria
Description: partial 16S ribosomal RNA
Rfam family: Bacterial small subunit ribosomal RNA
Source: RNAcentral
GACGAACGCUGGCGGCGUGCUUAACACAUGCAAGUCGAACGGAAAGGCCCUGCUUUUGUGGGGUUCUCGAGUGGCGAACGGGUGAGUAACACGUGAGUAACCUGCCCUUGACUUUGGGAUAACUUCAGGAAACUGGGUCUAAUACCGGAUAGGAGCUCCUGCUGCAUGGUGGGGGUUUGAAAGUUUCGGCGGUUGGGGAUGGACUCGCGGCUUAUCAGCUUGUUGGUGGGGUAGUGGCUUACCAAGGCUUUGACGGGUAGCCGGCCUGAGAGGGUGACCGGCCACAUUGGGACUGAGAUACGGCCCAGACUCCUACGGGAGGCAGCAGUGGGGAAUAUUGCACAAUGGGCGGAAGCCUGAUGCAGCAACGCCGCGUGCGGGAUGACGGCCUUCGGGUUGUAAACCGCUUUCGCCUGUGACGAAGCGUGAGUGACGGUAAUGGGUAAAGAAGCACCGGCUAACUACGUG